GUGAAUCAGGUCGGUGCAGUUUAGUGACAGGCAGCGCUUGAGGUCUGCGGACCAAUAUAGCAGUCAUCAGAUUGGGUACAGUUUUGGUUUGGUUACCUUGAGGCAUACUUGGCUUUGCAUUCCUUACAGUAGCAGUAUUGUUUAUUACUUCUUCUUUAUCUGUUAUAGCUACUGUAGUUUCUUUAUAUCAGCAUCAGUAUUUGUUUACCAUAUUGUUAUAUAUCUCUUCCUGAUCCGGUGAGUACUCCUCGCCUUCAUCGGCUUGCGGUACCUACUGGGAGGGGAGACAUGUUUACAUGUUCUCACCUCCCCCACUAUUUUUCAGGUAUCGCCGGCGGUGAGAGUUGAGACGAGACGUGAGACACGUUCGUAGUGGUCGCUAGAGCUUCCGACCCAGGUUAUUCGGUUUAGUUUCUACCCUUACUGUCCUAUUGAUAUAGCUUAGAUAGUUUAUGUGGUUCAGUUAGCUGAUCUUUAUGAUUGUUUGAAUGUUGGUGAUCUGGUUUUGGUAGAUCUGUGAAUGCUUUCAUUAUUUAUGCAUGUGAACUGAGGUUUGUGGAUUUGAAUGUUGAUUCUAUGGAUAUCGGAUUUUCUUGUAUUUACAUAUCGUGGUUUUCUACCCCUCGAGGUAGUUGAUUUUCAAAAUAGAGUUUCCGUGUGGGAAAUAGUUUUAAAAAGGUUUUCAAAUGGUUUUUCAUGAUGAAUGAAUUAGAGUUCAAAAAUAAAAGCUUCUGUGUGGGGAGCACUUUUAAAUAGGAUGUUUGUUGUAUUGUGCAUUGCAUCAUCCAGCGCCUAAGGAGUGCUUAGAGGCAUGCAUCAUUCUAAGGAUCGUUAGCUGUAUGGGAAUGCAUAUCAUGAUUUGAUUGCUGAUUGGUAAAUGUAGGUUGUGGUUGAGAUCCUAUUGUAUAGCUGGUACGCCGUGCAAUACAAAGGAAACUCUGACCGAGUGGACAGAGGAACUUUGUAUUUGUGGCGGGUCUGUACGUCACGUGGGCCAGGUUGAAAAAAAAAA
Molecule: long non-coding RNA, 1012 nt
Filed under: Ananas comosus (pineapple)
Lineage: Eukaryota; Viridiplantae; Streptophyta; Magnoliopsida; Poales; Bromeliaceae
Description: long non-coding RNA (ACOM_LNC016915)
Source: RNAcentral